AACGGCCUCACAUUGUGCUGGGGAAGUUCAAGUUGGAUACUGGGGAAACGUUCUUCUCCAUAAGAGCGGUGCUGCAGCGGCACAGGCUGCCCAUGGAGGUGGUGCAGUCACCAUCCCUGGAGGUGUUCCAGAGCUGUGUGAAUGUGGCACUGAGGACAUGGUCAGUGGGCAUGGUGAGGAUGGGCUGGCGGUUGGA
Long non-coding RNA from Tympanuchus pallidicinctus (lesser prairie-chicken), 196 nucleotides. RefSeq lists it as uncharacterized. The transcript has 3 exons. Lineage: Eukaryota; Metazoa; Chordata; Aves; Galliformes; Phasianidae. The record is from RefSeq and is a predicted model, not a curated record.